This 493-nucleotide ribosomal RNA is filed under the name uncultured bacterium. Its description in RNAcentral is "bacterial SSU rRNA". It matches the Rfam family "Bacterial small subunit ribosomal RNA", at positions 15 to 518 of the family's 1533-position model. The record is from RNAcentral.
GAUCAUGGCUCAGGAUGAACGCUGGCGGCGUGCUUAACACAUGCAAGUCGAACGGAGUUAGAUGAAACCUAGUGAUUCUAAACUUAGUGGCGGACGGGUGAGUAACGCGUGGGUAACCUGCCAUAUACAGGGGGAUAACACUUAGAGAUAGGUGCUAAUACCGCAUAAGCGCACAGGACCGCAUGGUCUGGUGUGAAAAAACUCCGGUGGUAUAUGAUGGACCCGCGUCUGAUUAGCUAGUUGGUGAGGUAACGGCCCACCAAGGCGACGAUCAGUAGCCGGCCUGAGAGGGUGAACGGCCACAUUGGGACUGAGACACGGCCCAAACUCCUACGGGAGGCAGCAGUGGGGAAUAUUGCACAAUGGGGGAAACCCUGAUGCCAGCGACGCCGCGUGAGUGAAGAAGUAUUUCGGUAUGUAAAGCUCUAUCAGCAGGAAAGAAAAUGACGGUACCUGACUAAGAAGCCCCGGCUAACUACGUGCCAGCCGCCGC